CAUAGCGUUAUGGACCCACCUGAUCCCAUGCCGAACUCAGUAGUGAAACGUAAUAGCGCCGAUGGUAGUGUGGGGUCUCCCCAUGUGAGAGUAGGACAUCGCCAGGC
This 107-nucleotide ribosomal RNA is filed under the name Photobacterium angustum. The record is from RNAcentral. Lineage: Bacteria; Pseudomonadati; Pseudomonadota; Gammaproteobacteria; Vibrionales; Vibrionaceae.